RNAcentral lists this ribosomal RNA (282 nucleotides) under Triticum aestivum (bread wheat). RNAcentral describes it as "partial small subunit ribosomal RNA". The record is from RNAcentral. Lineage: Eukaryota; Viridiplantae; Streptophyta; Magnoliopsida; Poales; Poaceae.
AUGGUGCAGUCGCAUUCCCCCAUGUUUGUGUUUUUGUGCGAGACUCGACAAAAAGAAAGUAAGAUGAAGAGGAUUAGAAGACGUCUUGGACUUCAAGGUUUUGAGGGUGUGGAUAGCAAUGGUUUAAGUGGUGGGCUUGCUUUGUUUUGGCAUGAAUCAUUCCAAGUUACAGUUCUGGGAACAGAUGAGCGGUUCAUUGAUAUUUCUAUCAUCUCUCCCGGUGGGGAUCAGUGGAGACUAACUGAUGUUUAUGGUGAACCUAGGGUUGAGAUAGAUACUUGA